RNAcentral lists this ribosomal RNA (242 nucleotides) under uncultured bacterium. Its description in RNAcentral is "partial 16S ribosomal RNA". It matches the Rfam family "Bacterial small subunit ribosomal RNA", at positions 333 to 568 of the family's 1533-position model. The record is from RNAcentral.
UUUGACCUACGGGGCGAGCAGUAGGGAAUCUUCCACAAUGGACGAAAGUCUGAUGGAGCAACGCCGCGUGAGUGAAGAAGGGUUUCGGCUCGUAAAGCUCUGUUGGUAGUGAAGAAAGAUAGAGGGAGUAACUGGCCUUUAUUUGACGGUAAUUACUUAGAAAGUCACGGCUAACUACGUGCCAGCAGCCGCGGUAAUAAGUAGGUGGCAAGCGUUGUCCGGAUUUAUUGGGCGUAAAGCGA